UGGGGAAUAUUGCACAAUGGGCGCAAGCCUGAUGCAGCCAUGCCGCGUGUAUGAAGAAGGCCUUCGGGUUGUAAAGUACUUUCAGCGGGGAGGAAGGGAGUAAAGUUAAUACCUUUACUCAUUGACGUUACCCGCAGAAGAAGCACCGGCUAACUCCGUGCCAGCAGCCGCGGUAAUACGGAGGGUGCAAGCGUUAAUCGGAAUUACUGGGCGUAAAGCGCACGCAGGCGGUUUGUUAAGUCGGAUGUGAAAUCCCCGGGCUCAACCUGGGAACUGCAUUCGAAACUGGCAGGCUAGAGUCUUGUAGAGGGGGGUAGAAUUCCAGGUGUAGCGGUGAAAUGCGUAGAGAUCUGGAGGAAUACCGGUGGCGAAGGCGGCCCCCUGGACAAAGACUGACGCUCAGGUGCGAAAGCGUGGGGAGCAAACAGG
RNAcentral lists this ribosomal RNA (429 nucleotides) under Chloroflexota bacterium. RNAcentral's name for it is "Chloroflexi bacterium partial 16S ribosomal RNA". It matches the Rfam family "Bacterial small subunit ribosomal RNA", at positions 355 to 776 of the family's 1533-position model. Lineage: Bacteria; Bacillati; Chloroflexota. The record is from RNAcentral.